RNAcentral lists this long non-coding RNA (2111 nucleotides) under Homo sapiens (human). RNAcentral describes it as "HSALNT0100185". Lineage: Eukaryota; Metazoa; Chordata; Mammalia; Primates; Hominidae. The record is from RNAcentral.
GACAACUCGCGGGGAUUGUUUUCCACACCGUGGAAGCUUUGUUCUUUUCGUUUUUUGCAAUAAAUCUUGUUGCUGCUCGCUUUUUGGGUCCACAUUGCUUUUAUGAGCUGUACCACUCACCGUGAAGAUCUGCAGCUUCACUUCAGAGCCUAGCGAGACCACAAGCUCACUGAGAGGAACAAACAACUCCAGACGCGCUGUCUUAAGAGCUAUAACACUCACCGCGAAGGUGUGCAGUUUCACUCCUGAGCUAGUGAGACUACGAAGCCACUGGAACGAAGAAACUCCAACCACGUUUGAACAUCAGAAGGGGCAGACUCCAGACGCUUCAUCUUAAGAGCUGUAACACUCACUGUGAAGGUCUGCAGCUUCACUCCUGAGCCAGCGAGACCACGAACCGAUCUGAACAUCAGAAGGGACAGACUCCAGAUGCCCCACCUUAAGAGCUGUAAUACUCACUGCAAGGGUCUGCAGCUUCAUUCUUGAAGUCAGACCAAGAACCCAGCAAUUCCCAACACACAGGGACCAGCUUCUUUCCUAACUCACUUAGGCUCUUCGUGCUGCUCUGGCAACUAACACCCUUGGCUGCAGGGGCUUGGACACUACCCUUAGUCACUGACAAUUGUGUGAAGGCUGCUGUCGUUAACUUCACUUGAUCACCUUAGGCUCCUGUGAAGUGGUGAGCAAUUCAAACAAAUUCCUGUCGUCAAAUCAGGAUAUACAUCUUUCCACACCAAUAGACCUUGUUUUCCGAUGUAGCAUUAUUUUUCAUAGUUGGCGAAUAUACAGUUAUGGAUUCAUAACAGCAAGAUGGAGAAAUUGCACUGCAGAGAAAUCUUUAAAAGCAAUUACCUAAUACUGCAGAUUGCUGAACUGUACCCACACCCAAGACUGAGCAUUGGAUCAAUCCAGAAUAUACAUCAGGUGUUCUGCAAUGUCUGCCUAAAACCAUGACUCUGCCUCCUCCAGCUGUUGCUACAUCUCACUAUGGGUUUCCUGUGACAUUUUGAGCAAGUAUGCCUCUGUGACUGGGGUUCUUACACUCCAGAAUGGAUGAGAAGCACCGUAAGUGGCUUUUAAAAUGAAUAUUCCCUGGCCCUUCAGUCGCUCUAUAGGUCAAGAAUCUGAAUUCUCAACCUGUCUAGAAGGUUCUGGUUUUAAUGGUCUGUGGGCUGCACAUUGAGAAACCUGUUCAGCGAGUGCAACAAAGGUUCCACAUGUGAGAAAGGAAGCAUCAGGUCUCUUGAGCCUGUUCUUUAAUCUGUAGGCUGCACCUUCUCUUUAAAUUCUGCUAAUAACACCAUGCGAGAAAACACCCGAGCUUGAAAAGCCCAUGUUCCAACAUAACUGUCCUUCACCACUCUGGAAAAUUAAUGGUUUGUUUCGAUUAUCCCUUUGUUAAACUCCAAAGUCAAAGAGCUCUGAAAGGCAUACGGUUAUUUUAAGUUUCAGGUGAUUUCUGUUGCCAAAUAUUUUAAAAAUUUAAAAUUGCUACGUGACCUCUUAGUAGUACUAUUAGAUUUCCUGACAAUAAAAAUAAGUCUUUUGGUUUCACCAUUUAUAGUUAGUACAGCUAAUAUUAAGUAUAAUUUUAAAAGCCUUUUAUUUUCUCAGAAAGAAAAAAUAAUCAAAAUCUGCUCAGUGUGGUAUUGAAUAAUUAAAAACAAAAGAACAGUAUCUUCACAUUAGUGUUUAAUAUUAAUUGCUUUUUUACCCUUGACACUGGUGCUAAUUAAAUUUUCAUUUUAUUUUCCAUGACUUGUUUAAACAGUUUUUGCAAAUUAUUGCUAAUCAGCCUAAUAAAACUGAAUCACCUAUUAAACAAUUUUGUUUUGAAUUAAAUGGCAUUAAAAUAAUUCUGGCUGCCUUGUGUUAUAAUGUGUUACAAGAAUACCAACCGCUACAGGUAAUAUGCCUUAGCUUUUACACAUGCUUUAAAUAAAUCUACGGAUGUAUUUACCUACAUGCACAAACAUGCAAAGAGGCAGUGUUGGUUAGUUGAAUGGGUUUCCGGCUGGAUUUAUUUCCCGUCUACUGUCUUCUCAAGAGGAAAUCUAAGGCAAAUCUCUUCAACAACCUGAAACUUGGUUUUCAUCAUCAGCAAAAUAAGG